This 253-nucleotide ribosomal RNA is filed under the name uncultured bacterium. Its description in RNAcentral is "partial 16S ribosomal RNA". It matches the Rfam family "Bacterial small subunit ribosomal RNA", at positions 524 to 776 of the family's 1533-position model. The record is from RNAcentral.
UACGGGGGGGGGCAAGCGUUGUUCGGAAUUACUGGGCGUAAAGGGCUCGUAGGCGGCCAACUAAGUCCGACGUGAAAUCCCCAGCUUAACCUGGGAACUGCGUCGGAUACUGGAUGGCUUGAAUUCGGGAGAGGGAUGCAGAAUUCCAGGUGUAGCGGUGAAAUGCGUAGAUAUCUGGAGGAAUACCGGUGGCGAAGGCGGCAUCCUGGACCGACAUUGACGCUGAGGAGCGAAAGCUAGGGGAGCAAACGGG